AGUGAACGCUGGCGGUAGGCCUAACACAUGCAAGUCGAACGGCAGCACAGUAAGAGCUUGCUCUUACGGGUGGCGAGUGGCGGACGGGUGAGGAAUACAUCGGAAUCUACUUUUUCGUGGGGGAUAACGUAGGGAAACUUACGCUAAUACCGCAUACGACCUACGGGUGAAAGCAGGGGAUCUUCGGACCUUGCGCGAUUGAAUGAGCCGAUGUCGGAUUAGCUAGUUGGCGGGGUAACGGCCCACCAAGGCGACGCUCCGUAGCUGGUCUGAGAGGAUGGUCAGCCACACUGGUACUGAGACACGGUCCAGAAUACUACGGGAGGAAGCAGUGGGGAAUAUUGGUCAAUGAGCGCAAGCCUGAUCCAGCCAUACCGCGUGGGUGAAGAAGGCCUUCGGGUUGUAAAGCCCUUUUGUUGGGAAAGAAAAGCAGCAGGUUAAUACCCCGCUGUUCGGACGGUACCCAAAGAAGAAGCACCGGCUAACUUCGUG
Molecule: ribosomal RNA, 492 nt
Filed under: uncultured bacterium
Lineage: Bacteria
Description: partial 16S ribosomal RNA
Rfam family: Bacterial small subunit ribosomal RNA
Source: RNAcentral